UCUUUCUUCUUCUUUUUUCUUUUUCUCUCUUUUUUUUUUAUGCCCCAGUUGGCUGUUCUGCUGAUUCUCGAGAUGCAGCUGAGUGAUCUCUUUUCUUGCUCAAGAAGUCGGGAAAUACCGUCAGGAAUCCCUUCAACAUCAUCUUCUUCCGCUUCGAAUACAGGGAAUUCAAAAUUGGGAGAUGACGUCCGAUCAUUAUGUUCAAUGGGUUUGAG
Molecule: long non-coding RNA, 215 nt
Filed under: Lathyrus oleraceus (garden pea)
Lineage: Eukaryota; Viridiplantae; Streptophyta; Magnoliopsida; Fabales; Fabaceae
Description: Pisum sativum (pea) long non-coding RNA (PSAT_LNC025015)
Source: RNAcentral